Molecule: transfer RNA, 71 nt
Filed under: Marmota monax (woodchuck)
Lineage: Eukaryota; Metazoa; Chordata; Mammalia; Rodentia; Sciuridae
Description: tRNA.Ala
Source: RNAcentral
GGGGUUGUGGCUCAGCGGUAGAGUGCUCGGCUAGCACAUGUGAGGAGCUGAGUUUGAUCCUCAGCACCACA